Molecule: ribosomal RNA, 460 nt
Filed under: uncultured Methylomirabilota bacterium
Lineage: Bacteria; Methylomirabilota (SeqCode)
Description: bacterial SSU rRNA
Rfam family: Bacterial small subunit ribosomal RNA
Source: RNAcentral
GGGCUUGACAUCCCACGAACCUGCCCGAAAAGGUGGGGUGCCCGCAAGGGAGCGUGGAGACAGGUGGUGCAUGGCUGUCGUCAGCUCGUGUCGUGAGAUGUUGGGUUAAGUCCCGCAACGAGCGCAACCCUCACCCCUAGUUGCCACCGGGUUAAGCCGAGCACUCAAGGGGAACUGCCAGCGUCAAGCUGGAGGAAGGCGGGGAUGACGUCAAGUCAUCAUGCCCCUUACGCCCUGGGCUACACACGUGCUACAAUGGCCAGCACAAAGGGACGCGAGACUGCGAAGUGGAGCUAAUCCCAAAAAGCUGGUCUAAGUUCAGAUUGCAGUCUGCAACUCGACUGCAUGAAGGAGGAAUCGCUAGUAAUCGCGUAUCAGCCCGGCGCGGUGAAUACGUUCCCGGGCCUUGUACACACCGCCCGUCACACCACGAAAGCUGUCUGUACUCGAAGUCGCUGAG